Pantherophis guttatus is the source of this 1582-nucleotide long non-coding RNA. RefSeq lists it as uncharacterized. The record is from RefSeq and is a predicted model, not a curated record. Lineage: Eukaryota; Metazoa; Chordata; Lepidosauria; Squamata; Colubridae.
CAGGUACUGAGGUCGGCGCCGCUCUAUCCUCGCUACCUCUGUGGUCAGUGCCCCCGCGGCCGACUUUUCAUUGGGGUGCAGUUUUAUAGGCGAAACAAUAAUCAACAUUAUGCAGGGCACAGAAAAGGAACAUGAAGCUGUAUGCCAAAUAAAUUCUCAUCUCUCUUUUUCAUGAUCUCAUCAACUCCAUCCAACCAAAACUGGAAUGGGACAACUUGCUGCAUUAGACAAGGUAGACUAGACUAGAUGAAUUUGACGAUUUGAAUACGUCUAGAACUGACAAGUGUUCUCUUACUUUAUUUUUGCAUAUUUUAAUUUGCAUUCCUAACCUGUCAUAUACAGUUCUGCUUUUGUGGUAUUGAACUGGACUGAGCUUUUAUAACUGUUUUUCAGAAUUUCCCAAGCUUCUUGAGUUGAUUUUCCCUUUAAGAUUUGCAUCCAUGGACUUCCGGCAGUGACGUCAGAGCGGUGUGGGUGAGGGUGCGAUCUAUAGCUCCUGAAAGCCCAAUUAAUUCCUGAAAAGGAGCUCUUUAAGGGGAUUUCUGAACCCGGAGGGCUCGGAAUACUAAAGGGAAAGGUUUUAAGACUUUGGAUGAUACACUAGUGUCCUGGAGAAUAAAACUGAACUCCUUAAAUCCAGCGGGGAAAAACUGUCCUUAAGGCAGAUCGAGAGCGAUGGCGGCCGCAAAGUGAGGAAGCAAAAAGUGGAUUCAGCAUCGGUGGUCAUGGAAGAUCGGGGGGGAAAAAAAGAAAGUGAGAUUUUUAAUAAGCAGAAUCACGAAACGAGAGAGGCACAGAGGGAAAAGAAAACGGGAAUUGGGAAGGAAAGUGCUUAAUGGAGAGAUGAUCAAAUGAAGACAUCAGUGAAACAGUGUAAUAGAAGUGGCGGAAGAAGUUAUCAACAAAGGAGAUACAAAGUAACAAACUGAAAUAUUUGGACUUGAGUUAAGGACUUAUCGCAAGGGGAAAAAAGAGUAAAUACAGCACAAGAAGGAAGAAACAUUGAAGGUAUAUAUAAACUUUGGAUUUAAAAAUUAAAGAAGUUCUUUCCUUAAAUCAGUGGACUGAGAAGGAGAUAAUUUUGAAAGAAAUUUACAGAUAGAUGUGUGGACAAUUGUGGACUUAUAAAUAUUAAGAAGAAAGUAAAGUGUAGUGGGAAGAGGAAAAAAAAGAGAUACAGAAGAAAACAAAAUACAAAGGGAGAGUCUGGGAGUACUUAGAGAUUGUGUGGUAGAAUAGAAAAUGACUAAGCUUGAACUGUGUGAUAGAAAAAAUCUGAUGCAAUAAGGACUGGAGAGAAGAAAAUCAGAAAAGAACCCCCCAAAAAGGAAAAGUCUGGUUGGAAUUUAAUAUACUUAUACUUACUUACAGAAAUUGUAAUCUGAGGGGGCAGGAAGUUGUGUUUGUUAAUAACUUUUGAAAAAGGGGAAGUUAUAGAAUAUAUUGCUAAGAAUAAUCAAUGUUAAAGAACUGUUUGGAUAAGUGUUGAAGAAACCAAAGGGAAGAUAUACCUUGAUUAUUUGGUAUUUUAUAAUAAUUAUAGUGAAAAUAUUUGAAAAAGAAUAAAUACUUAAUUAAUUAA